RNAcentral lists this microRNA precursor (104 nucleotides) under Nicotiana sylvestris (wood tobacco). RNAcentral describes it as "MIR6152 microRNA precursor family". It matches the Rfam family "MIR6152 microRNA precursor family". Lineage: Eukaryota; Viridiplantae; Streptophyta; Magnoliopsida; Solanales; Solanaceae. The record is from Rfam by way of RNAcentral.
UGGACAGAUUAUUGUAUUCGACUGUAUUUGACUGUUCACGGCGUGAAACAGGGGAUUACACUGUUUUUAAACGGAAAGUAAAUCAAUUAACAUAAUAGACUCCU